CUUUGAAAAGAGAGUGCAAGAGAACGUGAAAUCGAUAUAAUGGAAGCGAAUGAAGUCGACGUAUCUAACACGUAUUCAGUUGUUGGGCCGGGCGAUUGCUUUUACUGGUGUUCCGCAAGGUCACCGUGGAGGUAUUGUCGUCUGGUUGAGCAAUGCAUUUGCGUGUAGAGUGCGAUGAGACGGUCGGUGUCGUCGGCGGAAGCUUGACCAGAGGACGUCCUCGGACGAAACCCGGCCAUGUGGAUGCCCGAAUGAUGCUGUCUGAGCAAUUGGUGGACUGGUCUGUCGAUUUUUCGUACGAUCAUGUAUGCCCCCUCGGUUCUACGCAUGCGUAUGGCCUUUGAGGUGUGCGUGGUUGGGCGACGAAUCACUGUCCCCAUCUCGUUGUAUAGUCGGUCACUCAUUCGACCCGUCUUGAAACACGGACCAAGGAGUUUAUAGUACACGCGAGUCAUUGAGUUCCACGAACCUCAAAGGCGUAAUGAAAGUGAAACUAUCAAUAGUUGGAAUGCGAUCGGUGAAUUGUUUCGCGACGUUCGCCGAGCAGCGUUGCCCCAUUCCUGGAGCUUGCUCUGGUGUGGAGGUUGAGCGUGUGCAAUGAGACCCGAAAGAUGGUGAACUAUGCCUGAACAGGAUGAAGCCAGAGGAAACUCUGGUGGAAGUCCGAAGCGGUUCUGACGUGCAAAUCGAUCGUCUGAUUUUGGUAUAGGGGCGAAAGACUA
Molecule: ribosomal RNA, 722 nt
Filed under: Ektaphelenchoides andrassyi
Lineage: Eukaryota; Metazoa; Nematoda; Chromadorea; Rhabditida; Aphelenchoididae
Description: partial 28S ribosomal RNA
Rfam family: Eukaryotic large subunit ribosomal RNA
Source: RNAcentral